RNAcentral lists this ribosomal RNA (491 nucleotides) under uncultured bacterium. Its description in RNAcentral is "partial 16S ribosomal RNA". It matches the Rfam family "Bacterial small subunit ribosomal RNA", at positions 29 to 507 of the family's 1533-position model. The record is from RNAcentral.
GUGAACGCUGGCGGUAGGCCUAACACAUGCAGGUCGAACGGCAGCACAGUAAGAGCUUGCUCUUACGGGUGGCGAGUGGCGGACGGGUGAAGAAUACAUCGGAAUCUACUUUUUCGUGGGGGAUAACGUAGGGAAACUUACGCUAAUACCGCAUACGACCUACGGGUGAAAGCAGGGGAUCUUCGGACCUUGCGCGAUUGAAUGAGCCGAUGUCGGAUUAGCUAGUUGGCGGGGUAAAGGCCCACCAAGGCGACGAUCCGUAGCUGGUCUGAGAGGAUGAUCAGCCACACUGGAACUGAGACACGGUCCAGACUCCUACGGGAGGCAGCAGUGGGGAAUGUUGGACAAUGGGCGCAAGCCUGAUCCAGCCAUACCGCGUGGGUGAAGAAGGCCUUCGGGUUGUAAAGCCCUUUUGUUGGGAAAGAAAAGCAGCAGGUUAAUACCCCGCUGUUCUGACGGUACCCAAAGAAUAAGCACCGGCUAACUUCGUG